Molecule: long non-coding RNA, 552 nt
Filed under: Equus caballus (horse)
Lineage: Eukaryota; Metazoa; Chordata; Mammalia; Perissodactyla; Equidae
Description: lncRNA (ENSECAG00000056434.1)
Source: RNAcentral
UCAGACACCAAUUGCAAGUCAAGGCCUCCCACACUUCUGACCAAAUAGCUAUAAAUCAGAGGUUCCCACAACCCCUUCCUGAGGUUCAGUGAUUUGCUAGAACAGCUCACAGAACUCAGAGGAACACUGUACUUCCUAUUACCAGUUUAUUAUAAAGGCUAUAAACUCAGGAUCAGUCAAAUGGAAGACAGACACAAAGCAAGCUCUUUGUCCCCAGGCUAGAGCAUCUCCUCUUCGAGGUUGGUGGCAGUGCUGGAAUCCCGCAUCCAAUGGGAGGCAUCACCCCCAGUAAACCUCUUGUCCUCUAACUCCAUCUUACCAUCUACUUCAUGGAGGACCUAACUGACACACCAGCCAAAGCCAGAUGGGGUCUCCAGAGGCAAGAGAAGAAAGGAGGUCCCUGCAGCAGACCAAGAAGCUGAACCCAAAGUCCAGCCAGUGAUCUCUUACACGACCAUAAAGCAAGCUUUCUUUGGAGAUAACAGGAAGUGGUAACGUGUCUUCUAUGCUAUUAAGAAUCAAGUAUCAUUUUUUUAAAAAAACUUGUGUCCA